AUGCAUAUGUUGCCCAGCCCCUGCCAGAGAGAUGCCACAACUGCGCCCUCAGCACUUGGCAGCCAGAUCGCUGGGGUGGAGCACCCGGCACUUCGCCUCCCCCUGCUCCUGAUCUCUCGCCACUCUCUCCAGGGGCACUGUCUCCGGGGAUGGGAAGCCAGCAGGAUGGAGCCUGGGAGCGUGGCUGUGGUCUGCAACCAGUGUGGUCCAUCAGUGGCAGCACCAGUUCCCUCCCCUCAACGUGAUGCUCACGAACUUCACACAAAAGAUGGCACUGCUCCAGGUCCUGCCUCACUGACCCCCACGCUGGGAUCCUGGGCUGGUGGCAGUGCUGGCCAAGUCGGCACCUGACUCCUGCAAGGUGCUGUGUGGGGUUGAGUCUUUCUGCCUCUGUCCCCUGAGCUCUCCAGGCUCCUAGAGCUGGCUGCCACUGUAGCCACCAAGAUGCCCCCCAGGAGCCACAGAAGGAUCUGGGGAAGCUGACCAGACAUACUCUCUUAAAAGCAGGGGGACAGACAUCAGCCUGAUGCCCUCCCUCCGAAGAUGAUGGGCUUUUUGGCCCCACAGAAACAGCCGCCCCAUAGCUCCAGCCUCGCAGCAGAGGAGGCAUCUGUGUGAGUACCUUUAAUGAAUCCCAGAUUUUGGAAAAGAGGAAAAAUGACCCCACAUUUAUGGGAGGCCUAGGAAUACGCAGACAGACUCACUUAGUCUUUACUCAAAUCUUGCAACAAACCCAAGGUUUUGUUUACUUUUAACAACCAAGGACGCAGGACUUCACCUCAUCGCUGGGCUGUGGUUCCAUUUCUCUCCGACUCAGAAGCCCCCCUCCACUGGGCCCUGCCCUGAGACGUGGACGGGUCUCUCCAGGCCGAUUCUGAUCACCUUAUGACCUGUCCCUCGCUAUGGCUCUAAAGGUGCCCCGCGGCCUUUCUAUUUUCUCUAUCCCGAGACUGAGAGGCCAUGGAAAAUGCCUUCAUUGCUCUGAGAGUGGAUGCAGGGUGCUCCAGUACUGGUGGAAAACUUAAACCCCUCUUGCUUUCCAUGGGAGAUAAGACCCAGAUAGGGUGGUCUCCCAGCUCUGCAAGCCAGAGCUUCACUUCCUACUCCUCACACUGUACAUAGUGACCUGGGACGGAACUAGGCCUGGAAGAACCAAAUCUCAGGACUCGGGAUUCUUUUCAGACACCACAGACCAUGCUCCUAACUGCAACUGCUGCCUCUGUCGUGCACCUCGCGCUCCGCUCACCGAGUACCCCAG
This 1258-nucleotide long non-coding RNA is filed under the name Fukomys damarensis (Damara mole-rat). Its description in RNAcentral is "lncRNA (ENSFDAG00000029909.1)". Lineage: Eukaryota; Metazoa; Chordata; Mammalia; Rodentia; Bathyergidae. The record is from RNAcentral.